Molecule: long non-coding RNA, 2363 nt
Filed under: Homo sapiens (human)
Lineage: Eukaryota; Metazoa; Chordata; Mammalia; Primates; Hominidae
Description: HSALNT0210673
Source: RNAcentral
GGUUAAAUCAUACUAGAGAUCACAUGAAGACAUUCUAAAAUCACACUAUAAAAAUUGCUGAUAUAGGAGGAAAGGCUUACAAGAAUGUCUUUCAAACCCUUUUAUCCAACAAGUUAUUCAUCUUUUACUUUUCUUUCUUCCAACCUUAUCCUCUAUGAUACUAUUUUACUUUCUAAAUGAAUACAGUUUUGCCAUUUCGAUAGGACAAACAAUUUGACCUCUAAAAGAAACUUUGAAAUCCAAAAGUCUAUAAAGAAUUAAGGCCUGAAUUUAAGACUUAAGGCCAAUUCUUUAGACACAAUUCUCUACUUCUAAAAAUGCUAAGGUUGUAAUUUGGAAAAAACAGCAGAAUAAAGACUGCUAUGGGACCUCAAAUUUUAAAAAUUGUUUAACUGUGGUAUUCUAAAUUAUCAUACAAUCAGAUUAAGUUGGUGGAACUAAAACAGGGCGCAUUACCUCAAACAGCCAGCAUUUACAAGAACCAAAUUGAUUUUUUUUUCUUACAAAAGUCAGGCAACUUCCAAAUUAAGUCACUUUUUACCAUAUACCCUGGAGAAUAACAUGGCCCGACACACCACACGUCCCACUUAUCUAGUUCAAGCGAGUAACAUAACGUGAGAAACUGCACUGUGUAAUUCCUUUAUUUUCUGCAUAUUAGUGCUUUACCAACACUACAACCAUAAAGAACACAAUUCCAAGUACUGUACUUUUUAGUUUGGGGAGAUCACAGUCUACAGACUCAUUUAUGGUGGAGCUUUGGAAAUUUUAGAAAGCAACCAGUGUUCUUAGAUGUGUUUAUCAGCCUCAUUUCUAGAGCUCUUUCUACUAAAGUGAAACUGAGAACUUCGUACUUUAGUUGUAUCCUGAAAUCAAAAAAAUCCCUCUGCACCAACAGGAGCCUACAUGAGAAUACCCUUUUGCAUCUGCUUUAAGUAAAAUGUUUGUUAAGAGUUUUACUUUGAAUAGUUCAUUUUUUUAUAGUCUUACACUUCUCAUACAUCUUUGGUAAAAGCUCCAUUAUACAAUAUGGCCAAAGUGUGAAGGACCAAUACUGUCCAACUAUACCAUGAUAUCCCGCUCAAUUUUAGUUUUCAGACACCCUCAUAAACAAAACCCACUCCACCUUUUCCUGUAUACUGCCUUUGCAGUCUACAUUUCUGAAAUUCCCUAUUUAAUUCCUUGAGGAUCACUAAAAUUAAUCCUUAAGGCUAUAUAGGAACCAGAUGCUGCUUUACAAUUCUGCAUCAAGCAUUAACAUUUGGUUCAAAAUAUUAUCAUAGUGGUCGCAAUCCAGUUACUGGUCCUAACCAGCUAACCAAGUAAUCUUGUUAGGAUCUGGAUAUCACCAGCGAGCACACUGCUUACACAUGAAGAAAAAUAAGUUUACAUUCAUUGUCAUCUGUAGGUUCUUUCUCUUCAUCCUACGUCCCCUUUAAUAGUCAUCCCUCAAGUCUACACAUCAUUCAUUCAUCACGCUUCCUUCCUUAAAGGAGACAGUGUACUAUUGAACCAACAGGAUAUCUUUUUUAUUAUUUGCAUGAGUUAAUCCUACAAACAAAAUUAAAUACCUCUUUUAUAAAACAUCUUUUCCAGUGUUCUAAUUGAUGGAGAUGCGGAUCACUCAUCUAUAAAAAAUGACUUACAGCUUCAGCUUAAUCAGUUGCUAUAAUGUGAAAACAGGAAUGUGUAUUUUUUUCAACUAGGUAAAAGGUGCAUAUAAUUUGAAUUGUUAAAUGUUUUAUUAAUGAACAAAGUAAACCUUUUAGUAAUUUUUAAAUUACUGGUCUUAGGUGUUUGAAACAAGGUAAAAGUAUACAUUCCAGUUUUGCCCAAAAGUCACUUAAAAUAUCUACAAAUUAUUUAAUCUGUGUGUGGUAACACCAUUAUUGCUCCAAUUUCUGGAAAGAGUCUAUUUUCAAAGUUUAAAAAAGAGGAAAAACAGCAAAGUGGCUAACUUUGCAGUGGAAAGAAAAAGUGUCCUUCAUGGGUUACACUUUCAUAUUUUUAUGCAGCAUUAAGUUAUCUACGUUAUGGGGAACUUGGGUUUUAUUCCUACUCAUGCAUGAUGUGUUUCAGAACUUACUUGCUGACAUUUCAGAGAACUUCUUACAUUACCUGUUUAACAUACUGAGGUGCAACUGGAACAUAUUACAAUAUUACUCAUUAUUUGCCACUGUGGGCUAAGUUUACUAUACUGGUCUUAGAUAUAAAAGGUCACAUUUGAAAUUACUAAGUUAGAACUCAUAAGGAAGGGGGGGGAAGGCCUUAAAUAUAAAAGACAAACGGCAGUUUGAUUAAGCAAUAAUUUUCAGUUUACUAGAUGAAACAGACUUGCAACAUAGUCUGCAUGAAUGCAAAAUAAG